Molecule: ribosomal RNA, 376 nt
Filed under: uncultured bacterium
Lineage: Bacteria
Description: bacterial SSU rRNA
Rfam family: Bacterial small subunit ribosomal RNA
Source: RNAcentral
GACGAACGCUGGCGGCGUGCUUAACACAUGCAAGUCGAGCGGUAAGGCCCUUUCGGGGGUACACGAGCGGCGAACGGGUGAGUAACACGUGGGUGACCUGCCCUCCAGCUCUGGGAUAAGCCUGGGAAACUGGGUCUAAUACUGGAUAUGACUCCACGGUGCAUGUCGUGGGGUGGAAAGCCUUGUGCGGCUGAGGAUGGGCCCGCGGCCUAUCAGCUUGUUGGUGGGGUGAUGGCCUACCAAGGCGACGACGGGUAGCCGGCCUGAGAGGGCGACCGGCCACACUGGGACUGAGACACGGCCCAGACUCCUACGGGAGGCAGCAGUGGGGAAUCUUGCGCAAUGGGCGAAAGCCUGACGCAGCGACGCCGCGUGA